GAUGAACGCUGGCGGCGUGCCUAAUACAUGCAAGUCGAGCGAACGGACGAGAAGCUUGCUUCUCUGAUGUUAGCGGCGGACGGGUGAGUAACACGUGGAUAACCUACCUAUAAGACUGGGAUAACUUCGGGAAACCGUAGCUAAUACCGGAUAAUAUUUUGAACCGCAUGGUUCAAAAGUGAAAGACGGUCUUGCUGUCACUUAUAGAUGGAUCCGCGCUGCAUUAGCUAGUUGGUAAGGUAACGGCUUACCAAGGCAACGAUGCGUAGCCGACCUGAGAGGGUGAUCGGCCACACUGGAACUGAGACACGGUCCAGACUCCUACGGGAGGCAGCAGUAGGGAAUCUUCCGCAAUGGACGGAAGCCUGACGGAGCAACGCCGCGUGAGUGAUGAAGGUCUUCGGAUCGUAAAACUCUGUUAUUAGGGAAGAACAUAUGUGUAAGUAACUGUGCACAUCUUGACGGUACCUAAUCAGAAAGCCACGGCUAACUACGUG
This 497-nucleotide ribosomal RNA is filed under the name uncultured bacterium. RNAcentral's name for it is "partial 16S ribosomal RNA". It matches the Rfam family "Bacterial small subunit ribosomal RNA", at positions 28 to 507 of the family's 1533-position model. The record is from RNAcentral.